This 407-nucleotide ribosomal RNA is filed under the name uncultured bacterium. Its description in RNAcentral is "partial 16S ribosomal RNA". It matches the Rfam family "Bacterial small subunit ribosomal RNA", at positions 28 to 526 of the family's 1533-position model. The record is from RNAcentral.
GACGAACGCUGGCGGCGUGCCUAAUACAUGCAAGUAGAACGCAGUUGCGAACGGGUGAGUAACGCGUAGGUAACUGCCUCAUAGCGGGGGAUAACUAUUGGAAACGAUAGCUAAUACCGCAUACUGUGAGAUGGACCUGCGUUGUAUUAGCUAGUUGGUGAGGUAAAGGCUCACCAAGGCGACGAUACAUAGCCGACCUGAGAGGGUGUGCGGCACAAGUGGGCCUGGGACACGGCCAAGACUCCUGCGGGAGGCAGCAGGAGGGAUGCUGGGGAAAGGGAGGGAGGUCUGACGGAGCAACGCGGCGGGAGUGAGGAGGGUUUUAGGACCGUAAAGCUCUGUUGUUAGAGAAGCGGUAACUAACCAGAAAGGGACGGCUAACUACGGGCCAGCAGCCGCGGUAAUAC